UACGAAGGGUGCAAGCGUUACUCGGAAUUACUGGGCGUAAAGCGUGCGUAGGCGGUUUGUUAAGUCCGUUGUGAAAGCCCCGGGCUCAACCUGGGAAUGGCAGUGGAAACUAGGGGACUGGAAUCUGGCAGAGGGGGGUGGAAUGCCGCGUGUAGCAGUGAAAUGCGUAGAGAUGCGGCGGAACACCGAUGGCGAAGGCAGCCCCCUGGGCUGAGAUUGACGCUCAGGCACGAAAGCGUGGGGAGCAAACAGG
Molecule: ribosomal RNA, 253 nt
Filed under: uncultured bacterium
Lineage: Bacteria
Description: partial 16S ribosomal RNA
Rfam family: Bacterial small subunit ribosomal RNA
Source: RNAcentral